Molecule: ribosomal RNA, 497 nt
Filed under: uncultured bacterium
Lineage: Bacteria
Description: partial 16S ribosomal RNA
Rfam family: Bacterial small subunit ribosomal RNA
Source: RNAcentral
GAUGAACGCUGGCGGCGUGCCUAAUACAUGCAAGUCGAGCGAACAGACGAGGAGCUUGCUCCUCUGACGUUAGCGGCGGACGGGUGAGUAACACGUGGAUAACCUACCUAUAAGACUGGGAUAACGUCGGGAAACCGGAGCUAAUACCGGAUAAUAUAUUGAACCGCAUGGUUCAAUAGUGAAAGACGGUUUUGCUGUCACGUAUAGAUGGAUCCGCGCCGCAUUAGCUAGUUGGUAAGGUAACGGCUUACCAAGGCAACGAUGCGUAGCCGACCUGAGAGGGUGAUCGGCCACACUGGAACUGAGACACGGUCCAGACUCCUACGGGAGGCAGCAGUAGGGAAUCUUGCGCAAUGGGCGAAAGCUUGACGGAGCAACGCCGCGUGAGUGAUGAAGGUCUUCGGAUCGUAAAACUCUGUUAUUAGGGACGAAAAAAUGUGUAAGUAACUAUGCACGUCUUGACGGUACCUAAUCAGAAAGCAACGGCUAACUACGUG